Molecule: ribosomal RNA, 937 nt
Filed under: Gyrodinium ochraceum
Lineage: Eukaryota; Dinophyceae; Gymnodiniales; Gymnodiniaceae
Description: partial large subunit ribosomal RNA
Rfam family: Eukaryotic large subunit ribosomal RNA
Source: RNAcentral
UCAGUAAUGGCGAAUGAACAGGGAUGAGCUCAGCAUUGAAAUCUGGGCCCUCGGCCCUGAAUUGUAAUCUCGAGAUGUGCAACCAACGGAGGCGCAGAUGUAAGCCUCUUGGAAAAGAGCACCAGCGAGGGUGAGAGUCCCGUUCGUCAUUUGCAGUCCCCCGUGUACGGUGUACUUUCUAAGAGUCACGUUCCUCGGGCUUGGAGCGCCAAAGGUGGUAAAUUUCAUCUAAAGCUAAAUAUAGGUUUGAGACCGAUAGCAAACAAGUACCAUGAGGGAAAGAUGAAAAGGACUUUGGAAAGAGAGUUAAAAGUGCCUGAAAUUGCUGAAAGGGAAGCGAAUGGAACCAGUGUUUCUUGGCGAGAUUGUUACACGCUAAAUUGAUGGUCGGUUGCUUCAACGCAAGUGCUGCAGCUGGCUCUGAAAUGGACGUGUGUGGUGCUUCUUGCCUUGCCUGUCAACGUCAAUUUGGAGUUGAGGAAAACUCAAGGGACAUGGUAGUUUGCCCAUGGGUGACCGAACGUGCCUUGCAGAACUCAUCUUUGGAUUGAAGACCUCGUGUCCGGUUGCAACGCCCCCCUCUCGGGCUCUCAGCCUUGGGAAACUCAGCUCGGCAGCGGCCCUCCUUAUGGGGGAGCGUUCCUUGACGCGAAGAUGGUGACAAAAUGGUUUCACUCGACCCGUCUUGAAACACGGACCAAGGAGUCUAACAUAUGUGCGAGUUCCCGGGUGGCCAAACCUGCUGGCGUAAUGAAAGUGACUGCUGGGAUUUUUGCACCAGCAACCGACCGAUCAACUGUGUGAGGUUUGAGUGUGAGCACAUCUGUUAGGACCCGAAAGAUGGUGAACUAUGCCUGAGAAGGGUGAAGUCAGGGGAAACUCUGAUGGAGGCUCAUAGCGAUACUGACGUGCAAAUCGUUCGUCAUACUUGGGUAUA